Molecule: ribosomal RNA, 481 nt
Filed under: uncultured bacterium
Lineage: Bacteria
Description: partial 16S ribosomal RNA
Rfam family: Bacterial small subunit ribosomal RNA
Source: RNAcentral
UUGCACGCUGGCGGCAUGCUUUACACAUGCAAGUCGAACGGCAGCGCGGGGCAACCUGGCGGCGAGUGGCGAACGGGUGAGUAAUAUAUCGGAACGUACCCAGAAGUGGGGGAUAACGUAGCGAAAGUUACGCUAAUACCGCAUACGAUCUACGGAUGAAAGUAGGGGACCGCAAGGCCUUAUGCUUUUGGAGCGGCCGAUAUCUGAUUAGCUAGUUGGUGAGGUAAAGGCUCACCAAGGCGACGAUCAGUAGCUGGUCUGAGAGGACGACCAGCCACACUGGAACUGAGACACGGUCCAGACUCCUACGGGAGGCAGCAGUGGGGAAUUUUGGACAAUGGGCGCAAGCCUGAUCCAGCAAUGCCGCGUGAGUGAAGAAGGCCUUCGGGUUGUAAAGCUCUUUUGUCAGGGAAGAAACGGUAGAGGCUAAUAUCCUUUGCUAAUGACGGUACCUGAAGAAUAAGCACCGGCUAACUACGUG